ACUCGUGUAGCUCAAUUGGUAGAGCAUGAGACCUGGUAUCUCAAGGUUGCGGGUUCAAAUCCCGCCGUGGGGA
This 73-nucleotide transfer RNA is filed under the name Hypoxylon rubiginosum. Its description in RNAcentral is "tRNA-Pro". It matches the Rfam family "tRNA". Rfam says of the family: Transfer RNA (tRNA) molecules are approximately 80 nucleotides in length. The record is from RNAcentral. Lineage: Eukaryota; Fungi; Ascomycota; Sordariomycetes; Xylariales; Hypoxylaceae.